ACGCUCGACACCUACGGGAGGCAGCAGUGGGGAAUAUUGCACAAUGGGGGAAACCCUGAUGCAGCGACGCCGCGUGAGCGAAGAAGUAUUUCGGUAUGUAAAGCUCUAUCAGCAGGGAAGAAACUGACGGUACCUGACUAGGAAGCACCGGCUAAAUACGUGUCAGCAGCCGCGGUAAUCUGAGCGGGCUGGCAAGGC
Molecule: ribosomal RNA, 198 nt
Filed under: uncultured bacterium
Lineage: Bacteria
Description: partial 16S ribosomal RNA
Rfam family: Bacterial small subunit ribosomal RNA
Source: RNAcentral